This 253-nucleotide ribosomal RNA is filed under the name uncultured bacterium. RNAcentral describes it as "partial 16S ribosomal RNA". It matches the Rfam family "Bacterial small subunit ribosomal RNA", at positions 524 to 776 of the family's 1533-position model. The record is from RNAcentral.
GACAGAGGGGGCAAGCGUUGCUCGGAAUUACUGGGCGUAAAGGGCGCGUAGGCGGGAUGGCAAGUCGGUCGUGAAAUCCUUCGGCUCAACCGAAGAACGUCGAUCGAUACUGCUGUUCUUGAGGGUUGCAGAGGAGACUGGAAUUCCCGGUGUAGCGGUGAAAUGUGUAGAGAUCGGGAGGAACACCGGUGGCGAAGGCGGCCCCCUGGUUGGAUACUGACGCUGAGACGCGAAAGCGUGGGGAGCAAACAGG